Hibiscus syriacus is the source of this 378-nucleotide long non-coding RNA. RefSeq lists it as uncharacterized. NCBI's taxonomy places the organism in Eukaryota, Viridiplantae, Streptophyta, Magnoliopsida, Malvales, Malvaceae. The transcript has 2 exons. The record is from RefSeq and is a predicted model, not a curated record.
UUACACCUUUCCUUUCCCUUCACGUAUAAACAAAGCAAAGGAAGCAUUUUUAUCGAGGGGAUGAUAUGGGCCUUCAAAUCGGCCAGGCAAGCAACAUCAACAGACCCUCAUCUCACAUGCAAGCAUAAAGAAAGGAUUUUUAAAAGGAGACAUUUUUAUAAAAAAAAAGGGGGGUUUUAUAAAAACAAAAGUCAGAAACAAAAAAGGGGGAUUUUUACCAAGGAGAUUAGCGAGAAACAAAAAGGAAGAAAACCUUAAAAAUCAUACAUUUUUCGUUCUGAAGGGAUCAUCGUUCUUCAUCGGAGCGAUUCUUCACUGGUCGAAGGGUUAAAGGGGUGGCUAUGGUGGCUUUCACCUUGUGCCUUGCCGUCUAGAAAA